This is a long non-coding RNA of Larimichthys crocea (large yellow croaker), 456 nucleotides long. RefSeq lists it as uncharacterized. Lineage: Eukaryota; Metazoa; Chordata; Actinopteri; Sciaenidae. The record is from RefSeq and is a predicted model, not a curated record. The transcript is spliced from 5 exons.
UGUGUGUGUGUGUGUGUGUGUGUGUGUGUCUGUGUGAGUCGACCUCAAACCACCAGGGAAGCUGCUGCGAGGACAACAUGAUGUGGCUUUCAGCUCCACCUCAUGGAUUCCAAACGUUAACGGGCCGAUGCAGAAUCAUCUUUGGAACAUGCACGGCUCUGCCCUCAUGAUGAUGUCUGAGCCGAGAUAUUGAGAUGACGUUUCAGACCACGGUCUUCAUCACACAGAGGACCACAGUCCACCUUUGAUGGACCCGGUAAACCUGUGCAGCUGAAGCAGAGAUGCUCGGGAAGUGUAGGACCCUCCAGGCCUGGGGCAGGAUAUUUGAAGCCAUCUGCAGAUCUGUAUGCAAUGUAGACAUGGUGGAAAGUGAGCUGACAUAAACGCUUCAAGACAACAACAAUAGAAACCUUUGUGAUAUUUUGUUGUCCAAGAAAAUAUAAAAGUUCAAAGUUU